This 464-nucleotide ribosomal RNA is filed under the name Vreelandella stevensii. RNAcentral's name for it is "partial 16S ribosomal RNA". It matches the Rfam family "Bacterial small subunit ribosomal RNA", at positions 338 to 795 of the family's 1533-position model. Lineage: Bacteria; Pseudomonadati; Pseudomonadota; Gammaproteobacteria; Oceanospirillales; Halomonadaceae. The record is from RNAcentral.
CCUACGGGGGCAGCAGUGGGGAAUAUUGGACAAUGGGCGAAAGCCUGAUCCAGCCAUGCCGCGUGUGUGAAGAAGGCCUUCGGGUUGUAAAGCACUUUCAGUGGGGAAGAAAGCCUUGGGGUUAAUACCCUCGAGGAAGGACAUCACCCACAGAAGAAGCACCGGCUAACUCCGUGCCAGCAGCCGCGGUAAUACGGAGGGUGCGAGCGUUAAUCGGAAUUACUGGGCGUAAAGCGCGCGUAGGCGGUCUGAUAAGCCGGUUGUGAAAGCCCCGGGCUCAACCUGGGAACGGCAUCCGGAACUGUCAGGCUAGAGUGCAGGAGAGGAAGGUAGAAUUCCCGGUGUAGCGGUGAAAUGCGUAGAGAUCGGGAGGAAUACCAGUGGCGAAGGCGGCCUUCUGGACUGACACUGACGCUGAGGUGCGAAAGCGUGGGUAGCAAACAGGAUUAGAUACCCCAGUAGUC